GACGGAGGGUGCUAGCGUUGUUCGGAAUGACUGGGCGUAAAGGGCGCGUAGGCGGCGCGAUAAGUUGGGCGUGAAAGGCCCGGGCUCAACCCGGGGACUGCGCUUGAUACUGUCGCGCUGUGAGUCCGGGAGAGGAUGGCGGAAUUCCCAGUGUAGAGGUGAAAUUCGUAGAUAUUGGGAAGAACACCGGUGGCGAAGGCGGCCAUCUGGACCGGCACUGACGCUGAGGCGCGAAAGCGUGGGGAGCAAACAGG
This 254-nucleotide ribosomal RNA is filed under the name uncultured bacterium. RNAcentral's name for it is "partial 16S ribosomal RNA". It matches the Rfam family "Bacterial small subunit ribosomal RNA", at positions 524 to 776 of the family's 1533-position model. The record is from RNAcentral.